UGAGGAAUAUUGGUCAAUGGGCGAGAGCCUGAACCAGCCAAGUAGCGUGCAGGAUGACGGCCCUAUGGGUUGUAAACUGCUUUUAUAUGGGAAUAAAGUGGGGAACGUGUUCCCUUUUGCAGGUGCCGCAUGAAUAAGGACCGGCUAAUUCCGUGCCAGCAGCCGCGGUAAUACGGAAGGUCCGGGCGUUAUCCGGAUUUAUUGGGUUUAAAGGGAGCGUAGGCCGCGUUUUAAGCGUGUUGUGAAAUGUAGACGCCCAACGUCUGCAUCGCAGCGCGAACUGGGACGCUUGAGUACGCGCAACGUUGGCGGAAUUCGUCGUGUAGCGAUGAAAUGCUUAGAUAUGACGAGGAACUCCGAUUGCGAAGGCAGCUGACGGGAGCGGCACUGACGCUUAAGCUCGAAGGUGCGGGUAUCAAACAGG
RNAcentral lists this ribosomal RNA (424 nucleotides) under Verrucomicrobiota bacterium. RNAcentral's name for it is "Verrucomicrobia bacterium partial 16S ribosomal RNA". It matches the Rfam family "Bacterial small subunit ribosomal RNA", at positions 355 to 776 of the family's 1533-position model. The record is from RNAcentral. Lineage: Bacteria; Pseudomonadati; Verrucomicrobiota.